GAAAUAAAAAUACGUUUAAGUUAAUAAACGCACAGGAAGUGCAGACUGUCAUUGUUAUCACUGAGCAGAGAUUUCGUAACUGGAGUAAAGAUGGCCCCGAGUUUGAACCGGCCUAGAUCACCAUACGGCAAAUGCGACAUGUUUCUUUAAGAGUAACCCAGUAUUAAGUUACAGAAAAAUCCCAAAUGUCUGGACCGAAACCAAAAGGAUCCAGACAUCUGGCUCUCCAGAUACUUAUUAACAGUUGCUGGAUGCGGGAAUGUGUGAGGCUUUCAACAAGCCCGUGACUACAAGACAGUUCGUGCCUUUGUUCUGUUCCCGGUUUCCAGCUUUUGGAAGAUGGUAGUACACGAUUUUUAAGAACAAAUACAAAUCACGAGUCCCCCUCCAAAUAUAACGCCAGUUUUGUGAUGAGAGUGAGACAACCAGUUUUUCUCCUCCGGAGACAGUGUGAUCAGCCUAUCCUGGAUGCAAAUUUGUCAGCAAUUAACAACAGAACACACAGUUGAUAAGAGUGUGGCUUGGCUUAUGGCCUUACAUUCUUUGCAACCUUAUCUCAAAGAACUGGCAUCUCACUGAGCCUCCGUUCAACACUCUCUCCCUCAAACAGUUCAGGUGUAAUGCCACUGGUGGGGGUCAGGGAAACAAACAUCUGCAUGUGUGAAAACCCCACGAGUCUGUCUGUGGACCUUUGCCACAGAUGCACGGAGCAUACCGUCAUAGACAAAGCGUCUAAAAGACUUAUUCACAUGAUGUUUAUCAAAGCUAUGGUACAGUAUAUUACAGGUUAGUGCAAUACAGUAUACACUUAUACAGUAUAGUGCAAUACCUACUGCUAUGUGCAUGUAAAAGACAGCAACAUGUAAAUUCAUAUUUAGAUAUGCUACUUAUACACACUCAUGUGUUCAACAUUUAAAGUCACUAUUUUUACAUUUUAUUUUUCAUAAUGCUACUACCUCUACAAACACGUUCAAUAUGAAAAAUCAUUAUUUUUACAUUUUAUUUUUCAGAUUUAGACUACUACCUCAACAAAACCAUAUCCAUUUAAACAAUUUCAUUUGCACAUUCCUGUAUAAAAACUCUGCGUACAUACAGUAUACUAUUCAUCUUUAUAUUCAACUAUACAAUACUGAAAUACAGCAGCUAGACACAGAAUUACAGGAUAUAUAAUCAGAGGCCAAGUGUGUGUGUGUGUGUGUGUGUGUGUGUGUGUGUGUGUGUGUGUGUGUGUGUAAACACAUCUGGGCAAUAACAAUGUGAUUUCUAAUGGUAUCAGAUGUUAAUACCAUGGUACAUUUUCAUAUACAAUUACCAUAUUUAUGUACCAUUCUGUAUUUACAUGGUGCUUCAAAGUAUUUCAAAGAAUACCAUGUUAAAUUUAUAUAUGAUUACCAUAUUCAUAUACUAUUGUAUUUACAUGGUGCUUCAAGGUAAUUAAAAAAUACCAUGGUACUUCGCUAUAUGAUUACCAUAUUCAUGUAGCCUAUCAUUGUUUUCACAUAGUGCGUCCGGGUAAUGGUACAUGUCCAAAAAAACAUGGCCAUGAUACGUGUUUUGAUACUCUUUUGGUUGAAAAAUGUAUUUACCUGCAGAAGUGUUCACAAGCUGCAAACGUGUUGAACUUAAUAAAGACCUUCAUCACCCUGGCAAACGAUAGGACACAUUUGCAGGUUUUGUUUCCACUGAUUGUAGAUCCACUGCAACCAGCGUUAUCUUUAUUUUCCGUCUUAUAAAAUACUCCGUGAGAUUAUUGGCAAGUGAGAGCGUGCACCAAAUGAUUCAGCAGCGCGAGCGUAAACUUUCUAAGUAAUUCAGAUUGAAUCGCGAACCGAUUCAGAUUGCUUUCUAUCACGUGUGACCAAUUCAUUUUAAAGAACCGACUCAGAUGAGUGAUUCAUUUGUGAUCGGACAUCUUUAGUUUUGAUUCAAAACUGGCGAUAGUAAACACCUUGUGCAAGGUGUGAUGUAGCGUUGUAGCUUUUCUCAACGCUAAGCCGAUACCUACUCAAAAUAUAGCUUUGCUACUGAAAAGCUACUUGAUUUAAAAACUAGCGAAACUACCACCUCGCUACUCAGAAAUGUAGUUAAACUAAUAGCUUUGCUAUUGUAGCGAAGCUACUGCCCAUCACUGAAUACAAGUUAAGCUCAGUCGACAGCAUUGGUGGCAUAAUGUUGAUUACAACAAAAAUUAAUUUCAAUUUAUCCCUCCUUUUAAUAAAAGCAAAAAUCGAGGUUACAGUAAGAAACUUACAAUGGAAGUCAAUGGGACCAAUUUUGAUGGUUUAAAGGCAGAAAUGGGAAGCUUAUAAUUUUAUAAAAGCACUUACAUGAAUUCUUCUGUUAAAACUCAUGUAUUAUUUGAGCUGUAAAGUUGUUUAAAUUGUCAUUAUUACAUUUGGUUUUAGGGUUUGUUGACGUUACAUUGUUGUGGCAAAGUUGUUAAAUUAGCUAUAACUUUGCAUAGAAAAGGUUAGUAAGAGAUUUUAUCACACUAAAAUCAUGUUCGCGCGCAUACUGUUUAUGUCUUGUGGCUAUACUUUUGAAAAAGGGAGUGUUUUAACGAUCAAAAAUUGGCCCCCAUUCACUUCCAUUUUAAGUGCCUCACUGGAACCAAGAAAAGGAGGGGCAAGUAAAAACAAUUUUUUGUGUGGUAAUCAAUAUUAUGCCACAAAUGCUGUUGAUAGAACUUGUAUUGAACCCGGAAUAUUCCUUUAAUAUUCCUUUAAUAAGUGCUCUCCGAUACCUUAUUUACAAGGAUAUUUAUUUACAGUAACAUUCAAUUAUUUUAUCCUAAAUAACUUGAACACAUUCAUUCUUCUGAAAGUGAGUCAAAUGGAUAGAACUGAUAACAAAAGGUUUUAGCUAGUGUUUCCACUCCGCCCACAAACUGAAAUGACAUUUUUCCAUCUUACGUCAGAGAGACUGUAUCAAUGUCUUUCUAGCAAGUCAGUCCACUGUUGGCCAUCUUUGAAACGCUCUCGGGAGACUAUUUCCCUUCAUGGCAGUGCAGCUCCUAUCUACUUGAAUGGAGAAAGACCAAAAUCUCGAUCAAAGAACACAUUUCAAAACAGCAAUAAAAUCUGACAAUACUGUUAUCAUAAUUUCUGAUUCUUUACCUCAUAUUACGCAAAAAAAAUAAAUAAUAAAAAUAAAAAAAAAAAUAAAAAAAACGCAAUUUUCCCGGAUCCUGUAGCUAAUACGCAUACGCGUUCUAGACUUGAUUGACAGGUAAUGUCUGUAUCUAAAUGGUGAUUGGCUCUUUUACCUGUAAGGCGGGAGUUCCUUUAUACAUCCGUUGAACGUUCAGAACUUUUUGGUUGAGCGUUACGAUUUCUUCCAUUCAUUUAAAUAGAAGUGGCCCAUCUCUGCUAAAUAAACUCUGACUGUAUGCCGCAUUCAGCCACGUACAUCCGGGUCAUUUUCACAUCCUAAUGGUAAGGUAAAUUGUCAUUUUCCACUGGCCUGACACUAUUAACUGGUCACAGAUGUUUUUUUGUUGUUGUUAAAAAACACAUUUAAGCUAUAUACCUUCACAACACUGACAGUAGCCUAAGAUCCGCGGUGACGUUUGAAAGACAUUUUUAUAUUUCAGCCUUUGAAAAAUGAUGUGUGAUGCACCCUCUGCUGACCGUCCCUUCACUCAUUCAUUUUGUACUAAUGCACUUUUUUACUUAGACUGCAGCAAUUAAAAUUGUGUGAGGUGUUUACUCGCACAUCAUGACAUUCAAAUGUUUGAUUAAUGAUCCGUUAACAGCUUAUAGAGCAGACAUCAAAUACUGACAAACCAGACUCUGCAAAUAAUGGACAUAUUUAUUGACAAUAUGUUUACAUUUACUUUGAAGUUGCCCCCAUUUUUCUUAUAUUCGGAUGAGAAUUAAGUUCUUAUUUUGUUGUGUAUUACUAGAAACCAUUAGAAAUACAUUUUGUAACAAUGUAAAAAUAAUAAUAUUGCAUUCAUCAAGCAUGAUCAAAAAUCACAAUACAUUGUGAUUUA
Myxocyprinus asiaticus (Chinese sucker) is the source of this 3994-nucleotide long non-coding RNA. RefSeq lists it as uncharacterized. The record is from RefSeq and is a predicted model, not a curated record. Lineage: Eukaryota; Metazoa; Chordata; Actinopteri; Cypriniformes; Catostomidae. The transcript is spliced from 4 exons.